Molecule: long non-coding RNA, 1542 nt
Organism: Aplysia californica (California sea hare)
Lineage: Eukaryota; Metazoa; Mollusca; Gastropoda; Aplysiida; Aplysiidae
Exons: 3
Source: RefSeq, a predicted model, not a curated record
CCUUCACACGUUCCUGGCGUCUGCUUCACGUCUGCGCCCGUCCCGCCCGCCGCUAACGGCUCCCUCUGGUACCCGACCGGCCCCUCCUCCACCCGGCCACAGAGGCACACACAGAGAGACUCUACCCCAGCCAGGCAGCCAGCUCGCGCGCAGAUGGGCCGUGGAGUUCGGGAGUGACAGGAUCUUCUUGACUAGAUCUAGUGUCUACUACUACAACUGCUACCCUCCGACACACACCACCACUACAACUUGCUAUUUAGGACCAAGUUUUAGAGCUGCUUCAGUCGGACCAUAGGUAUCCACCACUAUAGAGGUUUCAUCGUCUUAACCAUCGAUUUCAUCGUCUCAACGAUUGAUUUCAUCGUCUCUACCAUUGAUUUCCUGGGGCUGCCCGAUUGAUUUGUUGGUGUGAAUGUUGUGUCCUCGGUGUUCAUGUCAUGUGUGUUUGUGUGUGGCGUGAGGGCAGGGAGAUUGCCUGUGUAUCCGCGCGCUGAUCGUUCUGUGAUUGCUGAUUGUGACAGGCAUCGUCAGGGGUCAGUCCAUCAACUCGUGCCUGCCCGGGGCUGACCACACAACGCGUUGAGCCGGCGACCUGGGCUUCUGUCCGCGGUGACGUAGGACAGGCUGGACAGACCAGGGCCUGGAGUCGCCAUCCCAGAACCGUGGAACGUCUGUCCCAAGAUUGGAACAUCUGUCCUGAGAUUGGAAGUCUCUGUGGUUUAUUUCUUGUGUCCAGUUGAACACAUGUGUGGUUUAUAAUUUCUUGUGUCCAGUUGAACACAUGUGUGGUUUAUAAUUAUCUUGUGUCCAGUUGAACACAUGUGUGGUUUAUAAAUAUCUUGUGUCCAGUUGAACUCAUCUGUGGUUUAUUUCUUGUAUGGACUACCGUUUUUUUCCUUCCCGGAGUACUGGCUGUGUGUGACGUCAUUGUCUACGUAACCUACUGGCUUGGAGAUUUAGCUGUGUAUUUCUGCUCAGGCCUGACUAUGCUGAACAGAGUCACUGUUGGGGAGUGACCGCGUGACCGUCUGUGUUCCAGUGCUGGUGUCACGUGACACAGCCUCUCUCCCCCCCCCCCCCCCCCCCCCACCCGGCCACAGCUGGGCCGUGCCAUGGCCCCACUGGACAACCGUGCGUCACCACCACAGCUUCUGACGUCACGACAACCACCUCUGACGUCACGGAGAACACGGGUGCUAGCCUGAGAUUGUAGAAAAGCAAACAAACACACACACACAAAAACAAACACACACACACACGAACGGGACAGGCGGAUACACCAACAAGGUGUGCACCUAUCCCAGCACUAUGGGCAGCUACACAAGUGUGGCGUGCCUGGUUGCCAUGGCGACCGUGUGUGUCCUGGUGGGUGAGUGCGGCGCUGGGCUGGUGGUGCGCGUGCGUGACCUUGAGGUGUCCGUGGGCCGGUCAGUGUACGUGAGCAGUGAGGACCUGGUGGUGCAGAGUGUGAGGCGCGGAGAGAGCUGCCGUGUGGAGGUCCUACAAGGGGACCCGGUCAGCCAGAGAGUGGGUCGUCUACAG